UACGUAGGUGGCAAGCGUUAUCCGGAUUUAUUGGGCGUAAAGCGAGCGCAGGCGGAAAGAUAAGUCUGAUGUGAAAGCCCCCGGCUUAACCGAGGAAUUGCAUCGGAAACUGUGUUUCUUGAGUGCAGAAGAGGAGAGUGGAAUUCCUAGUGUAGCGGUGAAAUGCGUAGAUAUUAGGAGGAACACCAGCGGCGAAGGCGGCUUACUGGACCGUGACUGACGUUGAGGCUCGAAAGCGUGGGGAGCAAACAGG
Molecule: ribosomal RNA, 253 nt
Filed under: uncultured Lactobacillus sp.
Lineage: Bacteria; Bacillati; Bacillota; Bacilli; Lactobacillales; Lactobacillaceae
Description: partial 16S ribosomal RNA
Rfam family: Bacterial small subunit ribosomal RNA
Source: RNAcentral